CCCCUAAUAUAAAAAGAUACCGGAUACUACAAACCACAUUUAAAACUCAAAGACCUUGGCGGUGUCUUAUACUACCAGGGGAACCUGUCCCUUAAUUCGAUAAUCCACGAAUGCUUUAACCCCCCUCGAAAUUCAGCUUGUGUACUGCCGUCGCAAGUGUGCCUUUGAGAGUUAGCACACAACAAUAAACCUCCCUACGUCAGGUCAAAGUGCAGCCAAUGGGGGGCUGGAGAUGGGUUACAAACUCAAUAAAAGCUACCGAUCUUUAUUCAAAAAUAAAACCAAAGCUGGACUUGAAAGUAAUGAUUCAUACUACACUAUCAUGAAUUGGAAUCUAAGACAUGCACACAUCGCCCGUCACUCUCGCCGAAAGGUG
RNAcentral lists this ribosomal RNA (376 nucleotides) under Tubificoides pseudogaster. RNAcentral's name for it is "partial 12S ribosomal RNA". The record is from RNAcentral. Lineage: Eukaryota; Metazoa; Annelida; Clitellata; Tubificida; Naididae.